AGCGAACGCUGGCGGCAGGCCUAACACAUGCAAGUCGAACGAACCUUUCGGGGUUAGUGGCGGACGGGUGAGUAACACGUGGGAACGUGCCUUUAGGUUCGGAAUAACUCAGGGAAACUUGUGCUAAUACCGAAUGUGCCCUUCGGGGGAAAGAUUAAUCGCCUUUAGAGCGGCCCGCGUCUGAUUAGCUAGUUGGUUGAGGUAAUGGCUCACCAAGGCGACGAUCAGUAGCUGGUCCGAGAGGAUGAUCAGCCACAUUGGGACUGAGACACGGCCCAAACUCCUACGGGAGGCAGCAGUGGGGAAUCUUGCGCAAUGGGCGAAAGCCUGACGCAGCCAUGCCGCGUGAAUGAUGAAGGUCUUAGGAUUGUAAAAUUCUUUCACCGGGGACGAUAAUGACGGUACCCGGAGAAGAAGCCCCGGCUAACUUCGU
This 433-nucleotide ribosomal RNA is filed under the name uncultured bacterium. RNAcentral describes it as "partial 16S ribosomal RNA". It matches the Rfam family "Bacterial small subunit ribosomal RNA", at positions 29 to 506 of the family's 1533-position model. The record is from RNAcentral.